GGUGAGUAAUGUCUGGGAAGCUGCCUGAUGGAGGGGGAUAACUACUGGAAACGGUAGCUAAUACCGCAUAAUGUCGCAAGACCAAAGAGGGGGACCUUCGGGCCUCUUGCCAUCGGAUGUGCCCAGAUGGGAUUAGCUUGUUGGUGGGGUAACGGCUCACCAAGGCGACGAUCCCUAGCUGGUCUGAGAGGAUGACCAGCCACACUGGAACUGAGACACGGUCCAGACUCCUACGGGAGGCAGCAGUGGGGAAUAUUGCACAAUGGGCGCAAGCCUGAUGCAGCCAUGCCGCGUGUAUGAAGAAGGCCUUCGGGUUGUAAAGUACUUUCAGCGGGGAGGAAGGGAGUAAAGUUAAUACCUUUGCUCAUUGACGUUACCCGCAGAAGAAGCACCGGCUAACUCCGUGCCAGCAGCCGCGGUAAUACGGAGGGUGCAAGCGUUAAUCGGAAUUACUGGGCGUAAAGCGCACGCAGGCGGUUUGUUAAGUCAGAUGUGAAAUCCCCGGGCUCAACCUGGGAACUGCAUCUGAUACUGGCAAGCUUGAGUCUCGUAGAGGGGGGUAGAAUUCCAGGUGUAGCGGUGAAACGCGUAGAGAUCUGGAGGAAUACCGGUGGCGAAGGCGGCCCCCUGGACGAAGACUGACGCUCAGGUGCGAAAGCGUGGGGAGCAAACAGGAUUAGAUACCCUGGUAGUCCACGCCGUAAACGAUGUCGACUUGGAGGUUGUGCCCUUGAGGCGUGGCUUCCGGAGCUAACGCGUUAAGUCGACCGCCUGGGGAGUACGGCCGCAAGGUUAAAACUCAAAUGAAUUGACGGGGGCCCGCACAAGCGGUGGAGCAUGUGGUUUAAUUCGAUGCAACGCGAAGAACCUUACCUGGUCUUGACAUCCACGGAAGUUUUCAGAGAUGAGAAUGUGCCUUCGGGAACCGUGAGACAGGUGCUGCAUGGCUGUCGUCAGCUCGUGUUGUGAAAUGUUGGGUUAAGUCCCGCAACGAGCGCAACCCUUAUCCUUUGUUGCCAGCGGUCCGGCCGGGAACUCAAAGGAGACUGCCAGUGAUAAACUGGAGGAAGGUGGGGAUGACGUCAAGUCAUCAUGGCCCUUACGACCAGGGCUACACACGUGCUGCAAUGGCGCAUACAAAGAGAAGCGACCUCGCGAGAGCAAGCGGACCUCAUAAAGUGCGUCGUAGUCCGGAUUGGAGUCUGCAACUCGACUCCAUGAAGUCGGAAUCGCUAGUAAUCGUGGAUCAGAAUGCCACGGUGAAUACGUUCCCGGGCCUUGUACACACCGCCCGUCACACCAUGGGAGUGGGUUGCAAAAGAAGUAGGUAGCUUAACCUUCGGGAGGGCGCUUACCACUUUGUGAUUCAUGACUGGGGUG
Molecule: ribosomal RNA, 1380 nt
Filed under: metagenome
Description: bacterial SSU rRNA
Rfam family: Bacterial small subunit ribosomal RNA
Source: RNAcentral